Molecule: unclassified non-coding RNA, 1116 nt
Filed under: Hevea brasiliensis (rubber tree)
Lineage: Eukaryota; Viridiplantae; Streptophyta; Magnoliopsida; Malpighiales; Euphorbiaceae
Source: RNAcentral
ACUCAUCACAAAAUAAGGGUCUACGGUCUCAUAACACUGUCUAUUGUUUGUGUAUUGGGGUGUUUUGAACAUUUUGGAGAACCAGGUUGUCUGUUAUUAAGUUAAUAAUUCCUUCUUGCGGUUAUGUGAGUGAAUUCCAUUUAUUGGUUAUUAUGAACUCUUCCUUGGCAGCUUAUAUAUUGGAUGUUACUAUCCCACCUCUUUGAAUGAAUAUGUGGGAAAUUGAGGAUGGGAUAUUAAUCCUGUUAUGUAAAUUUUAAAGGUUAGAUCCAUCAAAAUUGCACCUUUGUAAUUUAUAACUAUUUAUAGAGAAUGCCAAAGAAUGUGUUCUUUCUGUAAAAUAUUGGCAUAACAACAGAGAUCUAUAAUAAAUUGGUACAUUUCUGUUUUGUGUAUUUGGGCCAUGCUUCUUGAAAAUUGCUUCUUGAGUUUUGGUGUACAAGAGUUAUUGAUCUAUGGAUUUUCUUUCCAUUUUCCUCCAAUGAAUAUUCACAUGAAGAGUUGUGUUAAGUUAAAUAGGGCAAAAGGCCUUUUUUAAAAAGCGUCCCUUGAAUUACAUGAAUAAAAAUCCUUUUAUAAAAAUUUGUUGCUUUUAUUUUGAGGACUCAAAGGGGAGUCCCUCUUGAGUCAUUCCAAUUCCUUUUGUUUUUAAAUUCCAAAACGAUUUUAGGAUUUGAAGGGGAGUCCCCCUUAAACCAUCCUUAUUCCAUUUAAAUUACAUUCCAAAUCAAUUUUAGGGUUUGAAGGGGAGUCCUCCUUAAACCAUCCUUAUUCCAUUAAAAUUAUAUUCUGAAUUGGUUUUGGGUUUGAAGGGGAGUCCUCCUUGAGUCUUUCCUAAAAUUUCAAUUUUGAAAGGCAAUUCCUUCUAGAAGGGGAGUCUCCCUUGAACCUUUCCUAAAAUUUUAACUUAAAACAUAAUUUCUCUUGGUUUUGGGUUUUAAGGGGAGUCCCCCUUGAGCCUUUCGUAAUCUUUAAUCCAAAAUACGAUUCCUUAUUGUUUUGGGUUUGAAGGGAAGUCCCCUUUUGAGCAUUUCCUAAAAUUUUAAUUGAAAAUAUAUUUUUUCUUUGUUUUCGGUUUGAAGGGGAGUCCCCCUUGAACCUUUCCUAAAAUUUUAA